This 304-nucleotide ribosomal RNA is filed under the name uncultured bacterium. RNAcentral describes it as "partial 16S ribosomal RNA". It matches the Rfam family "Bacterial small subunit ribosomal RNA", at positions 506 to 807 of the family's 1533-position model. The record is from RNAcentral.
CAGCAGCAGCCGCGGUAAUACGGAGGGUGCAAGCGUUAAUCGGAAUUACUGGGCGUAAAGCGCACGCAGGCGGUCUGACAAGUCAGAUGUGAAAUCCCCGGGCUUAACCUGGGAACUGCAUUUGAAACUGUCAGGCUGGAGUCUUGUAGAGGGGGGUAGAAUUCCAGGUGUAGCGGUGAAAUGCGUAGAGAUCUGGAGGAAUACCGGUGGCGAAGGCGGCCCCCUGGACAAAGACUGACGCUCAGGUGCGAAAGCGUGGGGAGCAAACAGGAUUAGAUACCCCAGUAGUCCCUGUCUCUUAUAC